GACGAACCGUACGAACGUUAUUCGGAAUUACUGGGCUUAAAGGGUGCGUAGGCUGCGCGGAAAGUUGGGUGUGAAAUCCCUCGGCUCAACCGAGGAACUGCGCUCAAAACUACCGUGCUCGAGGGAGACAGAGGUGGGCGGAACUUAGGGUGGAGCGGUGAAAUGCGUUGAUAUCCUAAGGAACACCCGUGGCGAAAGCGGCUCACUGGGUCUCUUCUGACGCUGAGGCACGAAAGCUAGGGUAGCGAACGGG
This 253-nucleotide ribosomal RNA is filed under the name uncultured bacterium. Its description in RNAcentral is "partial 16S ribosomal RNA". It matches the Rfam family "Bacterial small subunit ribosomal RNA", at positions 524 to 776 of the family's 1533-position model. The record is from RNAcentral.